CAGGGAGACAACAAAAUGUUUAAUAUUAUUAUUUUGUCACCUUAGGUCGAUCGGUAUCUCACUUUCUUAUUUUGUUAAGAAUUUCAUUUCCUAAGUUUUUCUAGGUCACACCCAUUAUUUCCUGGGCCAUUAGCUCAGGUGGUUAGAGCGCACCCCUGAUAAGGGUGAGGUCCCUGGUUCAAGUCCAGGAUGGCCCAUAUCUCUAUGUUGGGGGUAUAGCUCAGUUGGUAGAGCGCCUGCUUUGCAAGCAGGAUGUCAGCGGUUCGAGUCCGCUUACCUCCACUGAUUACCACCUCUUCCAUAACCGGUAGAAAGGAAAUGUUUUGAGUUGUGAUCAUUAUUCUGAACGAAUCUAGCUUCCUGAUGAAAUCAUUAAGAUGCUGGACUCAUUGAAUUAAGUUCAUUGUUUUCAGAGAACCUUGACAACUGCAUAGAUUAUUUUUAAAGACAAUAAGCAUCUUUAAUGAUGCAGAUUUUUUAUUUGUGCGAAUGCAUUAAUAGCAAUUCUAUUAAGCUGAUGCUUCAAUUUUUGAAGUUAUU
This 540-nucleotide transfer RNA is filed under the name uncultured cyanobacterium. Its description in RNAcentral is "partial 16S-23S ribosomal RNA intergenic spacer". The stretch from base 210 to 282 matches the Rfam family "tRNA". Lineage: Bacteria; Bacillati; Cyanobacteriota. The record is from RNAcentral.